UAUAAUUUUCAAAGUAAGUUUGUAAUGUAUUUUAUGUCUUGAGCUUUUGUCCACUCCAUAGGAUCAAUUCUUUUGUCCUAAUAUCUAAAUUAUGCUUGUUUAAAAUAAUCCCUAUUUGAUCUGUCCCAUUUAUAUUA
Long non-coding RNA from Neltuma alba, 137 nucleotides. RefSeq lists it as uncharacterized. The transcript is spliced from 3 exons. Lineage: Eukaryota; Viridiplantae; Streptophyta; Magnoliopsida; Fabales; Fabaceae. The record is from RefSeq and is a predicted model, not a curated record.